GUUAGGGUGCAGAGCCCGGUAACUGCNUAAAACUUAAACCUUUACUAU
RNAcentral lists this transfer RNA (48 nucleotides) under Canis lupus familiaris (dog). Its description in RNAcentral is "partial tRNA-Leu". Lineage: Eukaryota; Metazoa; Chordata; Mammalia; Carnivora; Canidae. The record is from RNAcentral.